Molecule: ribosomal RNA, 497 nt
Filed under: uncultured bacterium
Lineage: Bacteria
Description: partial 16S ribosomal RNA
Rfam family: Bacterial small subunit ribosomal RNA
Source: RNAcentral
GAUGAACGCUGGCGGCGUGCCUAAUACAUGCAAGUCGAGCGAACAGAUGAGGAGCUUGCUCCUCUGACGUUAGCGGCGGACGGGUGAGUAACACGUGGAUAACCUACCUAUAAGACUGGGAUAACUUCGGGAAACCGGAGCUAAUACCGGAUAAUAUAUUGAACCGCAUGGUUCAAUAGUGAAAGACGGUUUUGCUGUCACUUAUAGAUGGAUCCGCGCCGCAUUAGCUAGUUGGUAAGGUAACGGCUUACCAAGGCAACGAUGCGUAGCCGACCUGAGAGGGUGAUCGGCCACACUGGAACUGAGACACGGUCCAGACUCCUACGGGAGGCAGCAGUAGGGAAUCUUCCGCAAUGGUCGAAAGCCUGACGGAGCAACGCCGCGUGAGUGAUGAAGGUCUUCGGAUCGUAAAACUCUGUUAUUAGGGAAGAACAAAUGUGUAAGUAACUAUGCACGUCUUGACGGUACCUAAUCAGAAAGCCACGGCUAACUACGUG